GGUGCUGUGGCUCAGUGGGUUAAAGCCCUGGCCUGAAGCACCAGCAUCCCAUAUAGGUGCUGGUUCGAGUCCCAGCUGCUCCA
This is a non-coding RNA of Oryctolagus cuniculus (rabbit), 83 nucleotides long. The record is from Rfam. NCBI's taxonomy places the organism in Eukaryota, Metazoa, Chordata, Mammalia, Lagomorpha, Leporidae.